GAUGAACGCUGGCGGCGUGCCUAACACAUGCAAGUCGAACGUGAAGCUUGGUACUUGUAUCAGGCUGAAAGUGGCGAACGGGUGAGUAACACGUUGGUGACCUGCCCCGAGGAGAGGGAUAACUCCUUGAAAGAGGAGCUAAUACCUCAGAUGACUGGACUGUUAGAGGGUCCAGCCUAAAGCUCCGGUGUCUCGGGAGGGGCCUGCGGGCUAUCAGCUAGUUGGUGGGGAAGAGCCUACCAAGGCGAAGACGGCUA
RNAcentral lists this ribosomal RNA (257 nucleotides) under uncultured bacterium. RNAcentral's name for it is "partial 16S ribosomal RNA". It matches the Rfam family "Bacterial small subunit ribosomal RNA", at positions 28 to 285 of the family's 1533-position model. The record is from RNAcentral.